This 395-nucleotide unclassified non-coding RNA is filed under the name soil metagenome. RNAcentral describes it as "partial contains 5.8S ribosomal RNA, internal transcribed spacer 2, and large subunit ribosomal RNA". The stretch from base 1 to 122 matches the Rfam family "5.8S ribosomal RNA", at positions 35 to 154 of the family's 154-position model. The record is from RNAcentral.
GAUGAAGAACGUAGCGAAAUGCGAUACUUCGUGUGAAUUGCAGAAUCCCGUGAACCAUCGAGUCUUUGAACGCAAGUUGCGCCCGAAGCCAUCAGGUUGAGGGCACGUCUGCCUGGGCGUCACAUAUCGUUGCCCAAUGCCUAUUGCAGUGCAAUAGGAAUUUCUAGGGCGAAUGAUGGCUUCCCGUGAGCGUUGUUGCCUCGCGGUUGGUUGAAAAUCGAGUCCUUGGUAGGGUGUGCCAUGGUAGAUGGUGGUCGAGUUAGAACGAUACCGAUCAUGUGCAUGCUCCCCAAAAUAUGGCCUCUAUGACCCACACGCGUCUUUUGACGCUCAUGACGAGACCUCAGGUCAGGCGGGGCUACCCGCUGAAUUUAAGCAUAUCAAUAAGCGGAGGA